UAUCGCUUUGCAUUGGGGGGGUCUUCUCAGACGAAGGAAGCCACUACCACAGCGUACCGGUGGCUUAUUCAUGUGGUGCACUAGUCGUCUGCAGCCGUUCUCGCUUUCGUCCUCUCGACACCUGGGCCGCGAGAACAUCAGCAUGCAGGGACAGAAAGGGGUCGGUCCGUCAAGAGUACUGGCUGAAAACAAGAGCUCGCUAUAGGGACAGCAUAUGGGAAGAAGCGACGAUCGAUAAUGAAGGAAUACUACGUACAAAGCGCGCGUCGCUCUUACAAAAGAUGCAAAUUAUAUAUGAGAUUAUUUGAGCGAUAGAUGCUUGCUCGUGCGCUUUCGAUCGGAUAAGCGUCUCUCGCUGUCAAGAAUCCGAGAAACUAUAGCCAGAGCUUGAUUAUUAGAUCGAUCCACAGAAAGAAAGAAAGAAAAAAGCCGCACCUGCUGUUGAAUGAAAAUUUGUUCCUUUUCCUGUAAGAAAGAGUAUCCUUGGUUAAUUAAAUGUUUGAUUUUUUAGCAUUUUUAGACGAUAUUAUAUCCACUUUUUUAUGAGCCAACGUCCGUGGCCAAUUCUCACACGACAUCCAACUUAUCCGCUCCAGAUUUUUAUUCCAGCAUUUCGGGGUGCACUGCAUAUAAUAAAGGGCGUUGACACUGCCACUACUACGCUCACUCGUCACCAGUCACCACGAGACUUAAGGAAGUACUAUAAAGUAUAAACCACACUCUCUUUAAUUAAUCAGCGGAUAAUAAUCAAAGAAAUCAUAAGCAGAGAGGGGGAUCGAGCUCGAGGAGAGAAUACCGAUCCGAUCAUGCAUCCAUUCCGGGCCGAUCCCACGAUCUUUUAAUUUCCACGCCAAUUAAUUCUAUCAACCGCGCUGAAAACCAACAAGCUGCCGCCGCAAAGCAGCACUCUUUCGAGCAACGACGCACUUAAAGCGCUUUGGUGCGUGGACGGGGGCUCACACAUGGGGUGUUCCGGCCCUGUUCUUUGGGCACAGCAAUGGUGUGCUAUAGCUAGGGCAAAGCUUCAAUUCGGACCAGGAUCAGAAGAAAAGCCCGCUUU
Molecule: long non-coding RNA, 1060 nt
Filed under: Zea mays
Lineage: Eukaryota; Viridiplantae; Streptophyta; Magnoliopsida; Poales; Poaceae
Description: long non-coding RNA (ZMAY_LNC002884)
Source: RNAcentral